RNAcentral lists this non-coding RNA (194 nucleotides) under Clostridium sp. RNAcentral's name for it is "T-box sequence". It matches the Rfam family "T-box leader". Rfam says of the family: Uncharged tRNA acts as the effector for transcription antitermination of genes in the T-box leader family. The record is from RNAcentral. Lineage: Bacteria; Bacillati; Bacillota; Clostridia; Eubacteriales; Clostridiaceae.
UUAAAAAUGAUGAUAGGGACAAGUAAAUAUAAAUAUACUUUAAAGAGAGUGCGUAUGAUGAAAAAACACAUUUAUAUUAUAUUGAAACUCACCCUUAAAUUGCAAUCUGAAAUCAGUAGGAUCAUGCCGGCAAAGCCGUUAAAUCAUUUGAGUGAUAAAUUUGGGUGGUACCGCGAUAGACCUUUCGCCCAUGG